Molecule: small nuclear RNA, 104 nt
Filed under: Octodon degus (degu)
Lineage: Eukaryota; Metazoa; Chordata; Mammalia; Rodentia; Octodontidae
Source: RNAcentral
GUUCUCACUUUCCCAGCACAUACCCUAAAACUGGACCAAUGUGGAGGUGAGCACUGGCUCUGCGCAAGGACUACAUACAAAUUCAUGAAGUGUCCCAUGCUUCA